GGGAUUGUGGCUCAGUGGUAGAGCGCUGGCCUAGGACAUGAGAGGACCUGGGUUCGAUCCUCAGCACCA
Ictidomys tridecemlineatus (thirteen-lined ground squirrel) is the source of this 69-nucleotide non-coding RNA. The record is from Rfam. NCBI's taxonomy places the organism in Eukaryota, Metazoa, Chordata, Mammalia, Rodentia, Sciuridae.